RNAcentral lists this unclassified non-coding RNA (182 nucleotides) under Moritella viscosa. RNAcentral's name for it is "putative sRNA". Lineage: Bacteria; Pseudomonadati; Pseudomonadota; Gammaproteobacteria; Alteromonadales; Moritellaceae. The record is from RNAcentral.
UGUUAUAACCUGCAAUAAAAAUUAGCAAAAUAAGGCGGCAUAUUUUAGUUAAAAUGACCCGCUUUGUCUCUAUUUAAACAGUAUAUAGGGUGAAUAAUUUAAUUGUUUCUCUAUCGCGUUGAUUUUUUCGUCGGUAAAAAGGAUCUUUUUGUUAAUAAAAUAACGGUUAUUUAACCACCAAG